RNAcentral lists this ribosomal RNA (410 nucleotides) under uncultured bacterium. Its description in RNAcentral is "bacterial SSU rRNA". It matches the Rfam family "Bacterial small subunit ribosomal RNA", at positions 359 to 764 of the family's 1533-position model. The record is from RNAcentral.
CGGUUUGGCAUGGGCGAAAGCCUGAUCCGGCAAUGCCGCGUGUGUGAAGAAGACCUUCGGGUUGUAAAGCACUUUUGUCCGGAAAGAAAUGGCUCUGGUUAAUACCUGGGGUCGAUGACGGUACCGGAAGAAUAAGGACCGGCUAACUACGUGCCAGCAGCCGCGGUAAUACGUAGGGUCCAAGCGUUAAUCGGAAUUACUGGGCGUAAAGCGUGCGCAGGCGGUUGUGCAAGACCGAUGUGAAAUCCCCGAGCUUAACUUGGGAAUUGCAUUGGUGACUGCACGGCUAGAGUGUGUCAGAGGGGGGUAGAAUUCCACGUGUAGCAGUGAAAUGCGUAGAGAUGUGGAGGAAUACCGAUGGCGAAGGCAGCCCCCUGGGAUAACACUGACGCUCAUGCACGAAAGCGUGG